RNAcentral lists this ribosomal RNA (335 nucleotides) under uncultured Anaerolineaceae bacterium. RNAcentral describes it as "bacterial SSU rRNA". It matches the Rfam family "Bacterial small subunit ribosomal RNA", at positions 1036 to 1382 of the family's 1533-position model. Lineage: Bacteria; Bacillati; Chloroflexota; Anaerolineae; Anaerolineales; Anaerolineaceae. The record is from RNAcentral.
AGGUGGCUGUAUGGCUGUCGUCAGCUCGUGUCGUGAGAUGUUCGGGUUAAGUCCGCUAACGAGCGCAACCCUCGCUGUGUGUUACAAGUGUCACACGGAACUGCCGGUCAUAAACCGGAGGAAGGUGGGAUGACGUCAAGUCAGCAUGGCCUUUAUAUCCUGGGCUACACACACGCUACAAUGGGAAGGGACAAUAGGUUGCGAAGCCGCGAGGCGGAGCCAAUCCAGCAAAACUUCCCUCAGUUCAGAUUGCAGGCUGCAACCCGCCUGCAUGAAGUUGGAGUUGCUAGUAAACGCAGGUCAGCCAUACUGCGUUGAAUACGUUCCCGGGGCUU